Molecule: long non-coding RNA, 827 nt
Organism: Salvelinus fontinalis (brook trout)
Lineage: Eukaryota; Metazoa; Chordata; Actinopteri; Salmoniformes; Salmonidae
Exons: 3
Source: RefSeq, a predicted model, not a curated record
CCCAACCUCAACCUGCAGGUAGGAGGAGCUACACACCACCAUACCCCACCUCAACCUGCAGGUAGGAGGAGCUACACACCACCAAACCCUACCUCAACCUGCACGUAGGAGGAGCUACACACACCACCAAACCCAACCUCAACCUGCAGGUAGGAGGAGCUACACACACCACCAAACCCAACCUCAACCUGCAGGUAGGAGGAGCUACACACACCACCAAACCCAACCUCAACCUGCAGGUAGGAGGAGCUACACACCACCAAACCCAACCUGCAGGUAGGAGGAGCUACACACACCACCAAACCCCACCUCAACCUGCAGGUAGGAGGAGCUACACACACCACCAAACCCAACCUCAACCUGCAGGUAGGAGGAGCUACACACACCACCAAACCCAACCUGCAGGUAGGAGGAGCUACACACACCACCAAACCCAACCUGCAGGUAGGAGGAGCUACACACACCACCAAACCCAACCUCAACCUGCAGGUAGGAGGAGCUACACACACCACCAAACCCAACCUGCAGGUAGGAGGAGCUACACACACAACCAAACCCAACCUGCAGGUAGGAGGAGCUACACACACCACCAAACCCUACCUCAACCUGCAGGUAGGAGGAGCUACACACCACCAAACCCAACCUCAACCUGCAGGUAGGAGGAGCUACACACACCACCAAACCCAACCUCAACCUGCAGGUAGGAGGAGCUACACACACCACCAAACCCUACCUCAACCUGCAGGUAGGAGGAGCUACACACACCACCAAACCCAACCUCAACAUGCAGGUAGGAGGAGCUACACACCACCAAACCCAACCUCAAC